UACGGGGGGGGCAAGCGUUGUUCGGAAUUACUGGGCGUAAAGGGUUCGUAGGUGGCUUGCUAAGUCAGACGUGAAAUCCCUCAGCUUAACUGGGGAACUGCGUCUGAUACUGGCGAGCUUGAGUGCAGGAGAGGAACGCGGAAUUCCAGGUGUAGCGGUGAAAUGCGCAGAUAUCAGGAGGAACACCGGUGGCGAAGGCGGGACUCUGGGCCGAUACUGACGCUGAGGAGCGAAAGCGUGGGGAGCGAACAGG
This 253-nucleotide ribosomal RNA is filed under the name uncultured bacterium. Its description in RNAcentral is "partial 16S ribosomal RNA". It matches the Rfam family "Bacterial small subunit ribosomal RNA", at positions 524 to 776 of the family's 1533-position model. The record is from RNAcentral.